AACGGAUCCUUCGGGGAUUAGUGGCGGACGGGUGAGUAACACGUGGGAACGUGCCUUUUGGUUCGGAACAACACAGGGAAACUUGUGCUAAUACCGAAUGUGCCCUUCGGGGGAAAGAUUUAUCGCCAUUAGAGCGGCCCGCGUCUGAUUAGCUAGUUGGUGAGGUAAAGGCUCACCAAGGCUACGAUCAGUAGCUGGUCUGAGAGGAUGAUCAGCCACACUGGGACUGAGACACGGCCCAGACUCCUACGGGAGGCAGCAGUGGGGAAUCUUGCGCAAUGGGGGAAACCCUGACGCAGCCAUGCCGCGUGAAUGAUGAAGGUCUUAGGAUUGUAAAAUUCUUUCAGCGGGGACGAUAAUGACGGUACCCGCAGAAGAAGCUCCGGCUAACUUCGUGCCAGCAGCCGCGGUAAUACGAAGGGGGCUAGCGUUGCUCGGAAUUACUGGGCGUAAAGGGCGCGUAGGCGGACAGUUAAGUCAGAGGUGAAAGCCCAGGGCUCAACCCUGGAAUUGCCUUUGAUACUGGCUGUCUUGAGUAUGGGAGAGGUAAGCGGAACUCCGAGUGUAGAGGUGAAAUUCGUAGAUAUUCGGAAGAACACCAGUGGCGAAGGCGGCUUACUGGCCCCAUUACUGACGCUGAGGCGCGAAAGCGUGGGGAGCAAACAGGAUUAGAUACCCCUGGUAGUCCACGCCGUAAACGAUGAGUGCUAGUUGUCGGCAUGCAUGCAUGUCGGUGACGCAGCUAACG
This 748-nucleotide ribosomal RNA is filed under the name bacterium M-10-296. RNAcentral describes it as "bacterial SSU rRNA". It matches the Rfam family "Bacterial small subunit ribosomal RNA", at positions 65 to 857 of the family's 1533-position model. The record is from RNAcentral.